RNAcentral lists this ribosomal RNA (253 nucleotides) under uncultured bacterium. Its description in RNAcentral is "partial 16S ribosomal RNA". It matches the Rfam family "Bacterial small subunit ribosomal RNA", at positions 524 to 776 of the family's 1533-position model. The record is from RNAcentral.
UACGUAGGUGGCAAGCGUUGUCCGGAUUUACUGGGCGUAAAGAGCGCGCAGGCGGCUGGUCAAGUCCGAUGUGAAAUCUCCCGGCUUAACUGGGAAACUGCAUCGGAAACUGAUCGGCUUGAAGGUGGGAGAGGGUAGUGGAAUUCCCGGUGUAGAGGUGAAAUUCGUAGAUAUCGGGAGGAACACCAGUGGCGAAGGCGGCGACCUGGGCAGAUACUGACGCUGAGGUGCGAAAGCGUGGGGAGCAAACAGG